UCCGCAGGCGGGACUGUAGGCGUCGAGUGAAAUACCACGGCUCAACCGUGGAACUGCUCGGCGAACCACAGUUCUUGAGGCGAGCAGAGGCGAUCAGAACGAUAGGUGGAGCGGUGAAAUGCGUAGAUAUCUAUCGGAAUGCCAAAGGUGAAGACAGGUCGCUGGGCUCGUCCUGACGCUGAGGGACGAAGCGUGGGGAGCAAACG
Molecule: ribosomal RNA, 206 nt
Filed under: uncultured bacterium
Lineage: Bacteria
Description: partial 16S ribosomal RNA
Rfam family: Bacterial small subunit ribosomal RNA
Source: RNAcentral